This is a non-coding RNA of Podarcis lilfordi (Lilford's wall lizard), 73 nucleotides long. The record is from the annotation of a GenBank genome assembly. Lineage: Eukaryota; Metazoa; Chordata; Lepidosauria; Squamata; Lacertidae.
GGAUAGGUAGCUCAGUGGUGGAGUAUCUGCUUUGCAUGUAGAAAGUCCCAGGUUUAAUCCCCGGGAUUGUCCC